RNAcentral lists this long non-coding RNA (246 nucleotides) under Nicotiana benthamiana. RNAcentral's name for it is "long non-coding RNA (NBEN_LNC023270)". The record is from RNAcentral. Lineage: Eukaryota; Viridiplantae; Streptophyta; Magnoliopsida; Solanales; Solanaceae.
GUUAAUGUUUCGAAUAAAAUUUUAGCUCCAUGUACAUGCUAGAAUAUUGUAAAAUGGUUCCACUUUUCAUCUGUGAAAAUCACUGGACUGGCUGCUAUAUAUAUCUUUGUGUAAUAUUGUUGGUUUUGCUAAUAAACAUUAGUGUGAAAUGUGUGUUUUAUUAUAGCUACAUUGGUAAAAUUCAAUGGAACAUUUUGAAUCGAAAGACACGUUACUACUUAUAUCAACACGUACAGCAAACAGUGG